ACUGAGGUGGCUUGGACUUGGAGUGUGCAGGCGCAAGCCAGCUCCUCUCUAAAUGCAUUAGCGGAACGUCUGUUCGCGGCGCGGUGUGAUAAUUAUCUACGCCUCUCAAGCCGUGUUUGGAUCCCUGCUUCUAACCGUCCCUUGUGGACAACUCUUUAAUGUGUGACCUCAAAUCAGGUAGGACUACCCGCUGAACUUAA
RNAcentral lists this unclassified non-coding RNA (200 nucleotides) under soil metagenome. RNAcentral describes it as "partial contains internal transcribed spacer 2 and large subunit ribosomal RNA". The record is from RNAcentral.